UAAAGAUUCAUCGCUGAUAGAUAGGCAUGCGUUCCAUUAGGCAGUUGGCGGGGUAACGGCCCACCAAACCGACGAUGGAUAGGGGUUCUGAGAGGAAGGUCCCCCACAUUGGUACUGAGACACGGACCAAACUCCUACGGGAGGCAGCAGUGAGGAAUAUUGGUCAAUGGGCGUAAGCCUGAACCAGCCAAGUCGCGUGAGGGAUGAAGGUUCUAUGGAUCGUAAACCUCUUUUAUAAGGGAAUAAAGUGCGGGACGUGUCCUGUUUUGUAUGUACCUUAUGAAUAAGGAUCGGCUAACUCCGUGCCAGCAGCCGCGGUAAUACGGAGGAUCCGAGCGUUAUCCGGAUUUAUUGGGUUUAAAGGGUGCGUAGGCGGCCUUUUAAGUCAGCGGUGAAAGUCUGUGGCUCAACCAUAGAAUUGCCGUUGAAACUGGGAGGCUUGAGUAUGUUUGAGGCAGGCGGAAUGCGUGGUGUAGCGGUGAAAUGCUUAGAUAUCACGCAGAACCCCGAUUGCGAAGGCAGCCUGCCAAGCCAUGACUGACGCUGAUGCACGAAAGCGUGGGGAUCAAACAGGAUUAGAUACCCUGGUAGUCCACGCAGUAAACGAUGAUCACUAGCUGUUUGCGAUACACAGUAA
RNAcentral lists this ribosomal RNA (637 nucleotides) under uncultured bacterium. RNAcentral describes it as "bacterial SSU rRNA". It matches the Rfam family "Bacterial small subunit ribosomal RNA", at positions 202 to 842 of the family's 1533-position model. The record is from RNAcentral.